This is a non-coding RNA of Xyrichtys novacula (pearly razorfish), 286 nucleotides long. NCBI's taxonomy places the organism in Eukaryota, Metazoa, Chordata, Actinopteri, Labriformes, Labridae. The record is from the annotation of a GenBank genome assembly.
CAAGAUAUAGCUAAACACAGAUAAAGCAUCUCACUUACACCGAGAAGGUACCCGUGCAAACCGGGUUGUCUUGAUUCAACAUAACUGGGCCAAACUAUUGGCCCCUCACAACAGACCCCCAAGACACAGCUAAAGUAAAAAUAGCCCCCCUCCCAGGGAAUCGUGCCCGUGAAAAUCGGGCUAUCUUGGAAUAUAAUUUGCAACAAAACAACAAGACACCCCCAACAACUUUCCCUCCAUAAGCACUAACCUGGCAGUACCCCACAACAAACUCACACCCACACCC